AGUAGAAUGACUGAAGGAUUAAUAGGUGAUAAAUUGUAAAUUUAUUUAUGAGUUUGAACUCUUCUGCUA
RNAcentral lists this transfer RNA (69 nucleotides) under Anaplectoidea varia. RNAcentral's name for it is "tRNA-Tyr". Lineage: Eukaryota; Metazoa; Arthropoda; Insecta; Blattodea; Blattellidae. The record is from RNAcentral.